This 839-nucleotide ribosomal RNA is filed under the name uncultured bacterium. RNAcentral's name for it is "bacterial SSU rRNA". It matches the Rfam family "Bacterial small subunit ribosomal RNA", at positions 56 to 909 of the family's 1533-position model. The record is from RNAcentral.
UGCAGUCGAACGAGAGAGAGGGAGCUUGCUUCCUUGAUCGAGUGGCGAACGGGUGAGUAACGCGUGAGGAACCUGCCUCAAAGAGGGGGACAACAGUUGGAAACGACUGCUAAUACCGCAUAAGCCCACGGCUCGGCAUCGAGCAGAGGGAAAAGGAGCAAUCCGCUUUGAGAUGGCCUCGCGUCCGAUUAGCUAGUUGGUGAGGUAACGGCCCACCAAGGCGACGAUCGGUAGCCGGACUGAGAGGUUGAACGGCCACAUUGGGACUGAGACACGGCCCAGACUCCUACGGGAGGCAGCAGUGGGGAAUAUUGCACAAUGGGGGAAACCCUGAUGCAGCGACGCCGCGUGGAGGAAGAAGGUCUUCGGAUUGUAAACUCCUGUUGUUGAGGAAGAUAAUGACGGUACUCAACAAGGAAGUGACGGCUAACUACGUGCCAGCAGCCGCGGUAAAACGUAGGUCACAAGCGUUGUCCGGAAUUACUGGGUGUAAAGGGAGCGCAGGCGGGCGAUCAAGUUGGAAGUGAAAUCCAUGGGCUCAACCCAUGAACUGCUUUCAAAACUGAUUGUCUUGAGUAGUGCAGAGGUAGGCGGAAUUCCCGGUGUAGCGGUGGAAUGCGUAGAUAUCGGGAGGAACACCAGUGGCGAAGGCGGCCUACUGGGCACCAACUGACGCUGAGGCUCGAAAGUGUGGGUAGCAAACAGGAUUAGAUACCCUGGUAGUCCACACCGUAAACGAUGAUUACUAGGUGUUGGAGGAUUGACCCCUUCAGUGCCGCAGUUAACACAAUAAGUAAUCCACCUGGGGAGUACGACCGCAAGGUUGAAACUCAAAGGAA